Molecule: ribosomal RNA, 426 nt
Filed under: Triticum aestivum (bread wheat)
Lineage: Eukaryota; Viridiplantae; Streptophyta; Magnoliopsida; Poales; Poaceae
Description: partial small subunit ribosomal RNA
Source: RNAcentral
AUGGGCGGUUCUAUUCUUCAUAGAACUAGUAGUCUUGCGGACGCUAUUGCCAUGCUUAUAGUUGAACUUGAAAUGCAAUUUAUGCACAUGCAUCCUUGCAUACAACGAAUCUUCUUAGAAUUCUCUAAUAUUGAGCAUUCUUCUGUUAAGCGUGCCGUCACUAUCUUUUUGGCUCAUGAGUUUAGAUUUAUAAUAAAAGAGGCCAAAGAAAUCUUUGCGCAUUAUAGGGUGGAUGCUAGUCAUCCUCCCAUUGAAGCUAUCCUAUUUAAUCAAGAAGACAUGAUGCGUUUACAAUCUUUAGAUCAUAUUGCUUAUAAUGAAAAUCUUAGGAAAAAGGUUCCUGCCGCUGUUCUAGUUGAUAAAAUUUCCGAGCUUAAUGAUGAUUUUGCUAUUCAAAAUAAUGGACUAGGUUUUCCUUUUGAAUGA